This 68-nucleotide transfer RNA is filed under the name Bos taurus (domestic cattle). It matches the Rfam family "tRNA". From Rfam's summary of the family: Transfer RNA (tRNA) molecules are approximately 80 nucleotides in length. Their secondary structure includes four short double-helical elements and three loops (D, anti-codon, and T loops). Lineage: Eukaryota; Metazoa; Chordata; Mammalia; Artiodactyla; Bovidae. The record is from Rfam by way of RNAcentral. RNAcentral also lists the same sequence under 3 other names.
CCUGAUAGCUGAGUGGUAAAGAAUCUGCCUGCAAUGCAGGAGACCUUGGUUUGAUUCCUGGGUCAGGA